AUUGAACGCUGGCGGCAUGCCUUACACAUGCAAGUCGAACGCGAAAGGGGCGAACCCGACGUAGAGUGGCGAACGGGUGAGCAAUACAUCGGAACACGUCCUGUAGCGGGGGACGAACCCCGACGAAAUCGGGGCGUAAUACCGCAUACGAUCCAAGGAUGAAAGUGGGGGACCGGCAAGGCCUCACACUAUAGGAGUGGCCGAUGCCGGAUUAGCUAGUUGGCGGGGUAAUAGCCCACCAAGGCUACGAUCCGUAGCUGGUUUGAGAGAACGACCAGCCACACUGGGACUGAGACACGGCCCAGACUCCUACGGGAGGCAG
Molecule: ribosomal RNA, 322 nt
Filed under: uncultured Pseudomonadota bacterium
Lineage: Bacteria; Pseudomonadati; Pseudomonadota
Description: bacterial SSU rRNA
Rfam family: Bacterial small subunit ribosomal RNA
Source: RNAcentral